Molecule: unclassified non-coding RNA, 305 nt
Filed under: Hevea brasiliensis (rubber tree)
Lineage: Eukaryota; Viridiplantae; Streptophyta; Magnoliopsida; Malpighiales; Euphorbiaceae
Source: RNAcentral
GGAAAUGUUGAAGAAGGCUAAGGAUGAGUUGGGGGUUGACAUAUUUGAAUCUUUAUUACGAACUUAUAUAGCUUCUGAAAAAAACAAGUCCUAUCAUGCGUCGGCGUAUAAAAAUGGAAAACAUAGAGCUGACUGAUGAAGGUAAAAGAUUGCUGGAUGCUGUUUCUGUGGAGUGAGAUCAUUUAUAAAGUAAUUGACAUGCCUUGAGCUUUCAGAAACUGAAUCGCAGAGAUGUGAGUUUUCAGCAUGUUGUUGCAAUUGAGAUUUUCUAGUUUACUACUCUUUUGAAUGGUUUCUUGGAUUGU